AAGUUAGAAAGGGCGCACGGUGGAUGCCUUGACACUAGGAGUCGAUGAAGGACGGGACUAACGCCGAUAUGCUUCGGGGAGCUGUAAGUAAGCUUUGAUCCGAAGAUUUCCGAAUGGGGAAACCCACCAUACGUAAUGGUAUGGUAUCCUUACCUGAAUACAUAGGGUAAGGAAGACAGACCCAGGGAACUGAAACAUCUAAGUACCUGGAGGAAGAGAAAGCAAAUGCGAUUUCCUGAGUAGCGGCGAGCGAAACGGAACAUAGCCCAAACCAAGAGGCUUGCCUCUUGGGGUUGUAGGACAUUCUAUACGGAGUUACAAAGGAAUGAGGUAGACGAAGCGACCUGGAAAGGUCCGUCGUAGAGGGUAACAACCCCGUAGUCGAAACUUCGUUCUCUCUUGAAUGUAUCCUGAGUACGGCGGAACACGUGAAAUUCCGUCGGAAUCUGGGAGGACCAUCUCCCAAGGCUAAAUACUCCCUAGUGAUCGAUAGUGAACCAGUACCGUGAGGGAAAGGUGAAAAGCACCCCGGAAGGGGAGUGAAAGAGAUCCUGAAACCGUGUGCCUACAAAUAGUCAGAGCCCGUUAAUGGGUGAUGGCGUGCCUUUUGUAGAAUGAACCGGCGAGUUACGAUCCCGUGCGAGGUUAAGCUGAAGAGGCGGAGCCGCAGCGAAAGCGAGUCUGAAUAGGGCGUUUAGUACGUGGUCGUAGACCCGAAACCAGGUGAUCUACCCAUGUCCAGGGUGAAGUUCAGGUAACACUGAAUGGAGGCCCGAACCCACGCACGUUGAAAAGUGCGGGGAUGAGGUGUGGGUAGCGGAGAAAUUCCAAUCGAACCUGGAGAUAGCUGGUUCUCCCCGAAAUAGCUUUAGGGCUAGCCUUAAGUGUAAGAGUCUUGGAGGUAGAGCACUGAUUGAACUAGGGGUCCUCAUCGGAUUACCGAAUUCAGUCAAACUCCGAAUGCCAAUGACUUAUCCUUAGGAGUCAGACUGCGAGUGAUAAGAUCCGUAGUCAAGAGGGAAACAGCCCAGAUCGCCAGCUAAGGUCCCAAAGUGUGUAUUAAGUGGAAAAGGAUGUGGAGUUGCUUAGACAACUAGGAUGUUGGCUUAGAAGCAGCCACCAUUUAAAGAGUGCGUAAUAGCUCACUAGUCGAGUGACUCUGCGCCGAAAAUGUACCGGGGCUAAAUACACCACCGAAGCUGCGAAUUGAUACCAAUGGUAUCAGUGGUAGGGGAGCGUUCUAAGUGCAGUGAAGUCAGACCGGAAGGACUGGUGGAGCGCUUAGAAGUGAGAAUGCCGGUAUGAGUAGCGAAAGACGGGUGAGAAUCCCGUCCACCGAAUGCCUAAGGUUUCCUGAGGAAGGCUCGUCCGCUCAGGGUUAGUCAGGACCUAAGCCGAGGCCGACAGGCGUAGGCGAUGGACAACAGGUUGAUAUUCCUGUACCACCUCUUUAUCGUUUGAGCAAUGGAGGGACGCAGAAGGAUAGAAGAAGCGUGCGAUUGGUUGUGCACGUCCAAGCAGUUAGGCUGAUAAGUAGGCAAAUCCGCUUAUCGUGAAGGCUGAGCUGUGAUGGGGAAGCUCCUUAUGGAGCGAAGUCUUUGAUUCCCCGCUGCCAAGAAAAGCUUCUAGCGAGAUAAAAGGUGCCUGUACCGCAAACCGACACAGGUAGGCGAGGAGAGAAUCCUAAGGUGUGCGAGAGAACUCUGGUUAAGGAACUCGGCAAAAUGACCCCGUAACUUCGGGAGAAGGGGUGCUUUCUUAACGGAAAGCCGCAGUGAAUAGGCCCAAGCGACUGUUUAGCAAAAACACAGCUCUCUGCGAAGCCGUAAGGCGAAGUAUAGGGGGUGACACCUGCCCGGUGCUGGAAGGUUAAGGAGAGGGGUUAGCGUAAGCGAAGCUCUGAACUGAAGCCCCAGUAAACGGCGGCCGUAACUAUACCGGUCCGAAGGUAGCGAAAUUCCUUGUCGGGUAAGUUCCGCCCCG
Molecule: ribosomal RNA, 1983 nt
Filed under: Escherichia coli
Lineage: Bacteria; Pseudomonadati; Pseudomonadota; Gammaproteobacteria; Enterobacterales; Enterobacteriaceae
Description: bacterial LSU rRNA
Rfam family: Bacterial large subunit ribosomal RNA
Source: RNAcentral